RNAcentral lists this ribosomal RNA (460 nucleotides) under uncultured bacterium. Its description in RNAcentral is "bacterial SSU rRNA". It matches the Rfam family "Bacterial small subunit ribosomal RNA", at positions 28 to 507 of the family's 1533-position model. The record is from RNAcentral.
GAUGAACGCUGGCGGCGUGCAUAACACAUUCAAGUCGAACGGAGAGAGAGCUUUGGCUCUCAAUCAGUGGCGGACGGGUGAGUAACGCGUGAGCAACCUGCCUUUCAAAGCGGGAUAACGGCUGGAAACGGACGCUAAUACCGCAUGAUGUAUAUUGAUCGCAUGGUUAAUAUACCAAAGAUUUAUCGAUGAAAGAUGGGCUCGCGUCUGAUUAGAUAGUUGGUGAGGUAACGGCCCACCAAGGCGACGAUCAGUAGCCGACCUGAGAGGGUGAUCAGCCACAUUGGAACUGAGAAACGGUCCAAACUCCUACGGGAGGCAGCAGUGGGGAAUAUUGGGCAAUGGGCGCAAGCCUGACCCAGCAACGCCGCGUGAAGGAAGAAGGUCUUCGGAUCGUAAACUUCUAUCCUUGGUGAAGAUAAUGACGGUAGCCAAGAAGGAAGCCCCGGCUAACUACGUG